UUAGCCCGUGCAGCUGUUUUUCUCUUCCCUGAUUCUUGGGGAGCCCUACUACAAUGCAGCCUCGGAUUAAGGGAAGGGUUGUGUGCUGUGUGAUGAAUGAGACUUGAAGGAAACCUGUCUGUUUUGGUGGUGCUGGUAUGAUGGGGUGUUUUACAGCAGUCUCCUCAGAAGUAAAUGUUCCCUGCAGGAGAGAAGAGGAGAGCUCACCACACCCAGCAGGAACCACCUCCUCAUUUCAGAUGAAUUUCUCAUCUGUGGAAAAAUACUGAAGACUCAGCAGUCAGAACAACACAAUGCCAGGACUAGAAGGAUAGUCACACGAUCCAAGUGGUGUCAGUGAUAGCCAAUGGAUGUGUGUGACAACUUUGGGGAUAACUGCAUGGUUCUUUUCAUCCCGCUGUUUUUGCCAAUAAGUACUACGUCAGUCUAGACACCUGGGGUUGCCAGCAACUGUAUCUGGAUCCCUGAGAUGCCUCAUGCUUGGGAGUGGGCACCACAGUCAUGCGCAACAAAAAGUAGUGGGGAAGACAGAUGUUGAUGGCAGUGUGCACAACAGAACAGCCUCCUGCCAUUUGAUCAUCUUGUCUU
Molecule: long non-coding RNA, 588 nt
Organism: Mus caroli (Ryukyu mouse)
Lineage: Eukaryota; Metazoa; Chordata; Mammalia; Rodentia; Muridae
Source: RefSeq, a predicted model, not a curated record